This 80-nucleotide transfer RNA is filed under the name Deltaproteobacteria bacterium. RNAcentral describes it as "tRNA-Ala". The record is from RNAcentral. Lineage: Bacteria; Pseudomonadati; Myxococcota; Myxococcia.
AGUGGCUUAAGGAAGGGCGAUUGGCGAUCGGGUGUGGACUUACGCUCCACCGGGGGUUCGAAUCCCCCCUCUUUCCACCA